CGACCAGCUCGGGCCGCUGGCACAGUCACGCGCGUCCACACAUCACCCCCGCACCCACACGCCGGGCAGGGUCCUCGCCUCUUCGCCCCGCGCCGCGCCGCGCAGCCAAGCAUCGUCUGCCCUGUGGGGGCGCAGCUCCUGGACUUUUUAAAAUUCCUGGAAUUGUGUCUCUCUAUCAUGGGGCUGGUACUAUUACCAUACGUUUCAGAAAACAGCAUCUGUUUACAAAGCGUUUUAUUAUACAACACAGAAAUACAUUUCACCCCAAAUGAUAACAGUGAACUUCAGCCCCCAGAAUCUCCUUCUCCCCUUCGUGAAACAGAGCUGGGAUGAUGGCAGAGGACUCCAGAACGCACUGAGAUUGUUCCUUGGCGUGACAAAUGGCAAAGGACUCUAGAACGCACAGAGAUUGUUCCUUGGUGUGACGGGCCAGACAGCACACCUUUCUUCAAGCCAUUCUCACAUCAAAUAAAACGUUGAUAAAUCAUUGUUUCUCUAAGCUUGAAAAAUGCUACUAACUCAAGACAAGGUGAAAGUGAGUUUGUUGAAAUCAACGUGAAGGAUCGAGGGUACCAACUUGGAAUGUAAAACCAUAGAAAAUACCAUCUGGGAACACGGAAAUCAUCUGUCUUAUCUGGAAGCCUGUCUCCAGAGUGGCAAACUUAGGGACUGGUUUGAGGACAGAGUGUGCCCUGUGUGCUGGGGAGGGGUGUAAAGGACUGGGAUGGAGGAGGGGGGGCUCCAGAUGUUCUUUUACCCAUAAAUACACUGUACAUCACCGUCUGCCACUGAAGCUUAAGGAUUGAAAACCUUGGGGAUGUUUCACUGGUUUUGCUUCCGCCUCUGCAAUGUUUGAACUUGCAUUUUCUGAGCCACGUAUGCAACUAAAAGCCUUACAUGCAUUACCCACCCUUCACCUCUCUUACUAGUCCUAUUUACAGGUGAGAAAACUGAGGCACAAGGAGUUUUGCUGAUUCGGGAUUGUUACGGGUUUUAGGUUUUGUUUUCCUCCUGACAGCUCCUGGACUUUUUAAAAUUCCUGUAAUUGUGUCUCCCAAUCAUGGGCCAGGAAUAUGAGAAUCAGCUGUGAACUUCGAGCCUGUCCAUCUCAAAACUCUUCAUCUCCAAGACAUUUCAAUAGAGCUUUGCCAGUAAACAAAAAUAAAUACGGUUCGGUUUACCCAGAGGCCAAAUCCCUUGUAAUAAGUUCUGGGCCAGUUUCUUCCCAGAGCGGGAGAAUAUACAGUUGUAGUUUGAGUUGAUUUUAUUUCUUUGAGGCUUUGUUUUUCUAGUCUUUCAGGCCUUAACCUCACUCCCUCAGGAACAGCUGAAAUAUGAGAAGAGAUCAUAUGGCCCCCAAAAAGUCCCCAGAUUAACCAAGAUUGAUGCCACCCAGGGCCCAGUUGGGGUCAACACCCUGUGUCAGGUGCGCUCUCUGUAUAAUUCCUGUUUCCUGUGAGAAGAGCAUUAAAGGCCCGUUAAUGUUUUAAAAUGAAAUGCAACCUCUUAAUAAUCAGGUUUCUCCACUCUGCUAGGAUUCCAAAAAAAAAAAUCAGCAACUGACAAAUGUUAAAAAUUUCCUCGCUGCUAAUCAUGCUUUCCCCCGCUUCCCUUUCUUUCCCCCUCUCUUCUAACAUGAAUUUAUUUUCUAUUUGAAAGCCAAUCUCACUGGUUAUUAGAUAUUCUCCCUGCUGUCACUAUCAGUAAAUUAUUAAACAGCUGACCAAGCUUUGUUUUAAAAUGAUUCUCUUAUGAAGCUCAGUGAUAUAUUUGCUAUGAAUACUGAAUGGUGCCGCGGUCUCUAAGGUCACGUGAAUGAUUCCUAUUUACUACCUUUAGCAAAAUGUGUGUGCAAUUAGCGGCAAGAACUUGACUUGAAUCACAGUUACUAGGGAUGCCUGUAGCUCAUUUACAUGGAGCUCCCUUUACUCAUUACACUCCUGCCCAGGAGAAGCGUGUUAAGAUUCUAGGCCAGGUCACGAAAUAGCAUAUAGACUUGUCUUUUGUCAUUCCUCACCUCCUUUCUUGUCUUGCCACUGCUGAGCCUUGACAUACCUGUGGGAAUCCUUUGUUUCAUGGAGCAGCGGGUUCUAAGUGAAUUUUUGCUUAAAGAAAAUAAACGUGAUUGAGA
This 2131-nucleotide long non-coding RNA is filed under the name Homo sapiens (human). RNAcentral's name for it is "non-protein coding lnc-SRSF6-1:2". The record is from RNAcentral. Lineage: Eukaryota; Metazoa; Chordata; Mammalia; Primates; Hominidae.